GAUGAAGAACGCAGUGAAAUGCGAUAAGUAAUGCGAAUUGCAGAAUUCCAGUGAGUCAUCGAAUCUUUGAACGCACAUUGCGCCCUCUGGUAUUCCGGAGGGCAUGCCUGUCCGAGCGUCAUUGCUGCCCUCAAGCACGGCUUGUGUGUUGGGCCCCGCCCCCCGAUCCCGGGGGGCGGGCCCGAAAGGCAGCGGCGGCACCGCGUCCGGUCCUCGAGCGUAUGGGGCUUUGUCACCCGCUCUGUAGGCCCGGCCGGCGCCUGUCGAUCAACCAAACUUUUUUCCAGGUUGACCUCGGAUCAGGUAGGGAUACCCGCUGAACUUAAGCAUAUCAAUAAGCGGAGGA
This 346-nucleotide unclassified non-coding RNA is filed under the name soil metagenome. RNAcentral's name for it is "partial contains 5.8S ribosomal RNA, internal transcribed spacer 2, and large subunit ribosomal RNA". The stretch from base 1 to 121 matches the Rfam family "5.8S ribosomal RNA", at positions 35 to 154 of the family's 154-position model. The record is from RNAcentral.